GAUGAACGCUAGCUACAGGCUUAACACAUGCAAGUCGAGGGGAAACGACAUCGAAAGCUUGCUUUUGGUGGGCGUCGACCGGCGCACGGGUGAGUAACGCGUAUCCAACCUGCCCACCACUUGGGGAUAACCUUGCGAAAGUAAGACUAAUACCCGAUGAUAUCCCACGAAGGCAUCCGAAUGGGAUUAAAGAUUUAUCGGUGAUGGAUGGGGAUGCGUCUGAUUAGCUUGUUGGCGGGGUAACGGCCCACCAAGGCAACGAUCAGUAGGGGUUCUGAGAGGAAGGUCCCCCCACAUUGGAACUGAGACACGGUCCAAAACUCCUACGGGAGGCAGCAGUGAGGAAUAUUGGUCAAUGGGCGAGAGCCUGAACCAGCCAAGUAGCGUGCAGGAUGACGGCCCUAUGGGUUGUAAACUGCUUUUAUAAGGGAAUAAAGUGGGUCUCGUGAGACUUUUCGCAUGUACCUUAUGAAUAAGGACCGGCUAAUUCCGUG
Molecule: ribosomal RNA, 494 nt
Filed under: uncultured bacterium
Lineage: Bacteria
Description: bacterial SSU rRNA
Rfam family: Bacterial small subunit ribosomal RNA
Source: RNAcentral